RNAcentral lists this ribosomal RNA (111 nucleotides) under Castor canadensis (American beaver). Lineage: Eukaryota; Metazoa; Chordata; Mammalia; Rodentia; Castoridae. The record is from RNAcentral.
GUCUACGGCCAUACCACCCUAAACACGCCUGAUCUUGUCUGAUCUCAGAAGCUAAGCAGGGUCGGGCCUGGUUAGUACUUGAUUAAGAGGUAUAUAAACUCAUUGGAAAUU